This is a long non-coding RNA of Populus euphratica (Euphrates poplar), 452 nucleotides long. RefSeq lists it as uncharacterized. The record is from RefSeq and is a predicted model, not a curated record. NCBI's taxonomy places the organism in Eukaryota, Viridiplantae, Streptophyta, Magnoliopsida, Malpighiales, Salicaceae. The transcript is spliced from 2 exons.
UGAUGUUCAGGGCAGGUGGUGCAUUGCUAAACCAUCGGCAUAUAAUUUUGAGCUUUUGCGCAACAUAGAAUAUAGCUGUGGGCAAAAUGGAGUGGACUGUGGGCAAAUUCAACCAGGUGGUAGCUGCUUUCGUCCAGACACUGCCUUCGGACAUGCCUCCUACGCUAUGAAUCUCUUCUUCAAGGCUGCAGGAAAGCACCCAUGGGAUUGCCAUUUCAAUGGUACUGGCAUUGUUGUUACUCAGGACCCAUCCUUCGGUGCAUGCACCUAUCCCCUGUAAUGCCAAGAGAGCUCGAGACAAGAAGGGUCUUCAUAUUUAUUAGUAGUUUGAAUAGUUUCUCAUUAAAGGAUCCAAAAUUAUGAUUUCCCAUCUUGUAAUGGGUAAAAGAGAGACGAUCUCGUUUUGUGAAACGACGAUGAAUGGUGUCCAUGCAUUCCUUUAACUUCGACUA